AGCAGCCGCGGUAAUUCCAGCUCCAAUAGCGUAUAUUAAAGUUGUUGCAGUUAAAAAGCUCGUAGUUGAAUUUCGGGAUCAGUUCGCUGGUCGUGCCUCUGGUAUGUACUGGUGUUACUGGUUCCUCCCUUCUGACGAACUGUCAUGUCAUUAAUUUGGUGUGGCGGGGAAUCAGGACUGUUACUUUGAAAAAUUAGAGUGUUUAAAGCAGGCUCGCGCUUGAAUACAUUAGCAUGGAAUAAUGAAAUAGGACGUUCGAUCCUAUUUUGUUGGUUUCUAGGAUUGACGUAAUGAUUAAUAGGGAUAGUUGGGGGCAUUAGUAUUCAAUUGUCAGAGGUGAAAUUCUUGGAUUUAUUGAAGACUAACUACUGCGAAAGCAUUUGCCAAGGAUGUUUUCAUUAAUCAAGAACGAAAGUUAGGGGAUCGAAGACGAUCAGAUACCGUCGUAGUCUUAACCAUAAACUAUGCCGACUAGGGAUCGGAUGAUGUUAAUUUUUUAAUGUACUCAUUCGGUACCG
This 518-nucleotide ribosomal RNA is filed under the name uncultured Glomus. RNAcentral describes it as "SSU rRNA". It matches the Rfam family "Eukaryotic small subunit ribosomal RNA", at positions 569 to 1088 of the family's 1831-position model. The record is from RNAcentral. Lineage: Eukaryota; Fungi; Glomeromycota; Glomeromycetes; Glomerales; Glomeraceae.